Non-coding RNA from Mycena latifolia, 93 nucleotides. The record is from the annotation of a GenBank genome assembly. NCBI's taxonomy places the organism in Eukaryota, Fungi, Basidiomycota, Agaricomycetes, Agaricales, Mycenaceae.
GCGGACGUAGUGCACGGCGCACGACUGCCUACUGUGAACAUAGAUAGACUGAAUUGCAAGCAGUUCGACGGGGUUCGACUCCCCGCGUCUGCC